Molecule: ribosomal RNA, 253 nt
Filed under: uncultured bacterium
Lineage: Bacteria
Description: partial 16S ribosomal RNA
Rfam family: Bacterial small subunit ribosomal RNA
Source: RNAcentral
UACGAAGGGGGCUAGCGUUGCUCGGAAUCACUGGGCGUAAAGGGUGCGUAGGCGGGUUUUUAAGUCAGGGGUGAAAUCCUGGAGCUCAACUCCAGAACUGCCUUUGAUACUGAAGAUCUUGAGUCCGGGAGAGGUGAGUGGAACUGCGAGUGUAGAGGUGAAAUUCGUAGAUAUUCGCAAGAACACCAGUGGCGAAGGCGGCCAACUGGUCCGGUACUGACGCUGAGGUGCGAAAGCGUGGGGAGCAAACAGG